GGCCCGCUGACCGAGCGGCGAGGUGUGUGGCUGCAAACCACAUCAGGCAGGUUCGACUCCUGCGCGGGCCU
This 71-nucleotide transfer RNA is filed under the name bacterium BMS3Bbin13. Its description in RNAcentral is "tRNA-Cys". It matches the Rfam family "tRNA". From Rfam's summary of the family: Transfer RNA (tRNA) molecules are approximately 80 nucleotides in length. Their secondary structure includes four short double-helical elements and three loops (D, anti-codon, and T loops). Further hydrogen bonds mediate the characteristic L-shaped molecular structure. tRNAs have two regions of fundamental functional importance: the anti-codon, which is responsible for specific mRNA codon recognition, and the 3' end, to which the tRNAs corresponding amino acid is attached (by aminoacyl-tRNA synthetases). tRNAs cope with the degeneracy of the genetic code in two manners: having more than one tRNA (with a specific anti-codon) for a particular amino acid; and 'wobble' base-pairing, i.e. permitting non-standard base-pairing at the 3rd anti-codon position. The record is from RNAcentral. RNAcentral also lists the same sequence under 1 other name.